GGAGGUGAGGAAGGCCGAUGUCGUUUAGGAACUUCAUUUGCAUAUUUCUGUUUUGGCAGAUGAUUUUCAAAUCUUUAUUACGCAUAUAGCAUAUCUACAGAAAGAUAGAGAUCUCUACACAAAGUGAUAUGAUGAGAUCGGACACGAACGUUGAAACACGAACACGAUUAGACGGAAGACAGUCUUUGACUAGACGCCGAUUUACCAGAGUUACCAACAGCGGUGUAAACGGGGCAUUUGAAAACGACCUUGCAUUGGCGAUGCAAGAGAGUUUGAGAUACGCAAAACAGGAAGAAGCCAACAAAAAAAGGAAACAAGAGGAAAACAUUAUUGAAAGAAACGGGUUAGAUGUCCAAAACAAAGUCGGAGAAGUAACGAUGAGCGGCAGAGCUUGCAUGGAAUCCCCUCAGGGGCCAAAACAACUGAAGGAACUUUUGUUGUUACAUGUCGAUCUUGUUCAACAUCAGCAAGAACUUCUCUCCCAAAAAGACAAGGCAAUAAAAGCUUUGCAUGAAGAAAGAACAGCAUUAACAUGUCGUCUAGACCGGAUGGAGAGGCGGAUGUCACUUUUAAAGCAGAAAGAUGACUACUCCGAUAUACAAAACAAGUCAUUUGGAAGUCCAAACUCAUGUGCGCAGUCUGCAUCAAAGACAACACAUGAACAAGCAUCAACUUCAGUAGACCGAGGAACAAAGCGAAAGUCGGCUGGCCUGGAGCCUCAGAAUCUCACCAAAAGGUUUACAGCAGAAGCCCAAAAACCACUAGCUUCAUCAACCCCAAGUCACCGUACCGAGCGACACCAGCGAUACAGAAAUAGGUCUGCCACAGUAUCUUCAACAGUAUCCUCUACCCUUAGCAUUGACCCUGCAACCUCCAACACUGCUAGUUCUCGCAAGAACCGUCGGUCGGCCAAAUGUAUCCGCGAUAGUCCGGACAACUCUGUGUUACGCACCAGUGACCCUUAUUAUGUGGCAUACUAUGAACCCCCAGACUCGGAAGACAUUGACCUGGAAUCUCGAGGGGACAUCGUCCAGGGGGCACAAAAAGAGCUGCAAGUUGAAUUACCACAGUGGCAAAAUAGAACCUACACCAAUCUGUGGGUACUGGAGGGAACAGAGAAUCUCGAGGAUGAAGUAUUUCUUAAAAGACACCAGAAGCCUGAGAUAGAAGAGAAACGAAGAAAGAGAUGGGAUCUACAAAGAAUCCGGGAGCAAAAGAUCUAUGAGAAACUUAAAGAAAAGGAGCGAGGAGAAGUGUGCACCAAAGAUGAGGGACAACAGUCUACCCUCGAGUCUUUCUACCCCAGCCUUGAUAAUAUUACACAUAUAGAGGUAACUAACAAAAUCCCUGUAAUGGUGUUUGGACAUCCUGUGCCAAAUCUAGACAAAAUGGAAUUUUCAUUACCAUGGGAACUAGAAACAAGUGCAUGUGCGCAUCCAUCUCGGUCUAGUCGGAGCAGCCGCCAUACAUAGUAAAGCUACAGACGUGAUUGAAUCCCACCAGACUACUGCCCCGGGACCCACCAGUCAUAUCAUCACAGCUGUGCUUCAUAAUGCAUCCUCAUUCAGUACCAGGUUGCCAAACUGCUCUUCAGGAAAACAUUGAGGUUGAAAUCCAGCUUUCCUUGUAAAGUUUUGACAAUUUAAAUUGAUAUAGGAGCAAACAAGUUAAGCUGUUUUAUGAACGAUCAUAUACAAAGUGGAGAGCAUUUAUAUAUAGUCUGAAUUGCUGUCUAUUGCUGAGAAAGUCACCGCCUAAGCAAUUUGCACAACCAUCUGUGUUGUGUUCAUUUACCUGUACAAAUGGUAGAUUGGAACUGGUUCUCAUAUAAAAUGGAACAAACCUGUGUGAUUUUGAUACACAACACAUCAUCUGGUUUAGAUCUGUGCGAUUAAUGUCCCUCAACGCCGCAGCGUCACAGUGCAAGUUCAGGCAUAGAGUUGGUCACACUAGAUCAAACAAUGAUCCAGUGUCAUAAAGCAAAGUACUGAAUUGUGUUAGAGGCUUUGGAAAUAUUUUUCAAUCGACCAAUUGUUACUGUGUUCAUCAUUUUAAAUGUACUGGGAUCAUUCAUUUUAAUAGAAACAAUAGCAUUGCCUGUUUCAUGUGGUGCCAAAUGUUAUAUCAAAGCCUUGUGCAAUGUUAUAUUUGAUCAUCAUUCAUCAUCAUCAUCAUUGCCAACCAUAACUUUUGACAACUGACAUAACAUAACGGUGUGUGGCUAGUGUGUACCAUCGGGUGUAAUGUUGUUUACAUUGUCGUAAAUAUCACAGUCGUGGUGCCAACUAACACUAUGUAAUAGCAUUGUACAGUAGGUUGGGGGAUUUCUUUGACCUGAUAGUAAGAGCAUGAAAUCUUAAAUGGGUUUGUUGACUUGAAGUAUUACAGGACGUAGUAAAAUCCACCUUAGUUAGUAGUGCUUUUUUUUUGGGAUGUGAUUUUUAUCAAAAGUUUGUAGUUUUGAUAAAAGAAAAAUCCAAAUUUCUUUAAAUUAGAAUUGCUAUCACAAUAAAUCCUGUGCUAUUGUUGUACACCAGACAAUUAACCAAAUGCCUCCUUAACUAACAGUAUUGAAGGUUAGCUCGGUGUGUAUUUUAUAUUUAUGUUGAAACAUCCAUAUAGAAUCUUAUAAAUGUUUUGCAGUUACUUAGUCAUGGAUGGAUACAAAAAAAAAUGAUAAAGUGGUAUGGUAGCCAAAACAUCAUAAAGUGACAGAAUUUAUUGUAAGAAUUCUAGUUCAUAUUCUUACCAUUGUGUGUGUUCUAGGCACUUUAUAGAAAUUCCAUUAUGUUUUUUGUCUUCAGAUCUGGCAGUUUUAAACAAGUGACAAUUUUGCUGAAUGAGGAAUGAUUCUGUUGAAAUGUGCAUUUUCUUUUGACUGGUUGACCAGUGAAAUAUGUACUAACCCAAAAUAAAAGAACAGAUUUUUGUACAAGUAUUGCCAACUACUGUACCAAAGAAUUUGCAUUAAAAGUAUUUGUACACGUAGUAAAAGAGAACUGUAAUGUAGUGUGGGCAUAUUUGGGUGAUGUGACUGAGGAAAGUCUGAUGGACUUGAUUUGGUAUGGAAUGGUAAAAGGGAGAUUCCUUUGUAGCAACAAUAUGGCGGUUUGUUAGUAGUGAUCUCGAUAUUUUAAAAUCUUUUCCUUGAUAACUUUGAAAUGAUUGUCAUGUGUUUUGUAAGUUUGCUUAUGCCUAGUUGUGUAUUCAGAUAAUUGUUGAAGUUUGAGAGUAUUUAAAACGUUUAUAUAUGAAAGUUUUACUUAUUUAUUUUAGAGUGACAUGAAGAGAUGAAUGUUUUUAGUCAGUUUUGUGAAUAUUGUACAGUAUGGAAACAGAUUUUAUGUUUAUUGUGACAUUUUGUUUGUACAGUACAUAUUUGAAAAAGUGUUGAGAAAUCCUGGAGAUGUCUGAAUUCUACUGGUGACUGGAAAGGUCUGUUGUCUGUCGUUUUUGCUGAAGCAAGUUCUCUUUUGAUUGUAUGCAUAUUCAAAUAUCAAUCUUUUUAUGGAUAUUAUUUGUUAGAAAUUCAGGAGAUGAAAGCGUUGUUUUGAGGAAUCGGUAUAGGAUACUUUAUGUUUGAAAGUAUACUUAGAUUUAAUCAGUGGUUCUGCUUGUUUUAAUAUUUUAUUAAUGUAUUAAUUGUUUCAUAUCUAGGUUUUCUAAUAUAAAUGGCAUUCAGUAAUGUAGGCGUCUCCUGCUGCAUGGUACACUGGCCAGUAACUUUGUAUUUAGUACAGGAUUGUAAAAUGACGAUGCCGUGUACGGGAACAUUUCCUUGUGUGGCCAUUAUCAUGGUAAAGACAAAAGAUUAGUCAUGUUGUAAUGUUGUUGACAAAUGUUCUAAGAGUAAUAUACAUUGUGAUGUUUCUGAGCCCUCAUUUAGUAGGACACACUAUAAUUAAUAAAACUCAAAAGAUAAUACAUUCAUUGUUGAAGUUUUCACAUUUUGAUAUAUUUAAACCAAUUUCCUGUUAAUUACACCCUGAAGGUAAGUAUUUCAUACCAAAUACUGUAAAAGUUUUUCACAUGGUUCUGAAUAUUUUUUGCUGUGUGCAGUAACUUUUUUUUUGGCGAAAAAAUUUGAUCUGCAAAAUUUAUUGGAAACAAAAACAUGUGUCAUGGCCACUAGCCCUAAAAUCUGCGAAAAAUUGACCAUUUGAGUAAAUGCUGUAAAAAGGGUUUACAGUAGAUCUAUACCAAAUGAGAGGAAUUGGUAAGACAGAUGCGCAGCAAUUAUGCUCACUGAGAAAUGUUUCAUAUCAGUGUAUCAUAAGUACACUUUAAACUAGCCAUGUAAAAUAUAGGGAAGACUAUGAUAAUUGCUAUCACACGAAAUGUAUUGGGUUCAUUGUAUGAGAGAUUUGUAUGUUGUACCAACAUACUUGAUUUUGAGAGAUUUAGAGUGUUGUACAAAUCUACUAUUGUUCUGGACCAAGUGCUUUGCAUGUCAUUGCCAGUUGUCCACUUAUGUAUGGGAUAUUUACAUAUGAAAACCAAUAAAACAAAAUUGUGA
This 4516-nucleotide unclassified non-coding RNA is filed under the name Mizuhopecten yessoensis (Yesso scallop). Its description in RNAcentral is "male-specific lethal 1 homolog, transcript variant X3". Lineage: Eukaryota; Metazoa; Mollusca; Bivalvia; Pectinida; Pectinidae. The record is from RNAcentral.